AAUUUUUGCACGGGUUGUACAGGAAGCUUCGAAAAGGAGAAUUCAAGUUCAUCAAGAUUCUGUACUUCCACACGAAGGUGUCCUUCAGUUGGUCCAUGUUCGUAGUCGCUCCGUUUAUAGCAGGGCAUCAAGUAAGUCGAUGACGAUGGUGACUGCAUUUCGCUUUCUAUGUCUGAUACAUCAGAGUAGGUUCUCCUAGAAGCAGGCGAUGAUUUUUCAGGGAUUCCGUGGGUUUUGAUAUGUUGGAAGGCGGGGUGAAUGGGGGAGGCAUUUGGCGAUGAUCCUGCGGUUCUGACGGAGGCCUGGG
RNAcentral lists this unclassified non-coding RNA (307 nucleotides) under Hevea brasiliensis (rubber tree). Lineage: Eukaryota; Viridiplantae; Streptophyta; Magnoliopsida; Malpighiales; Euphorbiaceae. The record is from RNAcentral.